Molecule: ribosomal RNA, 800 nt
Filed under: Staphylococcus carnosus
Lineage: Bacteria; Bacillati; Bacillota; Bacilli; Caryophanales; Staphylococcaceae
Description: bacterial SSU rRNA
Rfam family: Bacterial small subunit ribosomal RNA
Source: RNAcentral
CAGUCGAGCGAACAGAUGAGGAGCUUGCUCCUCUGACGUUAGCGGCGGACGGGUGAGUAACACGUGGGUAACCUACCUAUAAGACUGGAAUAACUCCGGGAAACCGGGGCUAAUGCUGGAUAAUAUGCAGAACCGCAUGGUUCUGCAAUGAAAGACGGUUUUGCUGUCACUUAUAGAUGGACCCGCGCCGUAUUAGCUAGUUGGUAAGGUAACGGCUUACCAAGGCAACGAUACGUAGCCGACCUGAGAGGGUGAUCGGCCACACUGGAACUGAGACACGGUCCAGACUCCUACGGGAGGCAGCAGUAGGGAAUCUUCCGCAAUGGGCGAAAGCCUGACGGAGCAACGCCGCGUGAGUGAUGAAGGUCUUCGGAUCGUAAAACUCUGUUAUUAGGGAAGAACAAGUGCGUAGGUAACUAUGCGCACCUUGACGGUACCUAAUCAGAAAGCCACGGCUAACUACGUGCCAGCAGCCGCGGUAAUACGUAGGUGGCAAGCGUUAUCCGGAAUUAUUGGGCGUAAAGCGCGCGUAGGCGGUUUUUUAAGUCUGAUGUGAAAGCCCACGGCUCAACCGUGGAGGGUCAUUGGAAACUGGAAAACUUGAGUGCAGAAGAGGAAAGUGGAAUUCCAUGUGUAGCGGUGAAAUGCGCAGAGAUAUGGAGGAACACCAGUGGCGAAGGCGACUUUCUGGUCUGCAACUGACGCUGAUGUGCGAAAGCGUGGGGAUCAAACAGGAUUAGAUACCCUGGUAGUCCACGCCGUAAACGAUGAGUGCUAAGUGUUAGGGGGUUUCCGCCCCU